Thamnophis sirtalis is the source of this 2715-nucleotide non-coding RNA. The record is from RefSeq and is a predicted model, not a curated record. Lineage: Eukaryota; Metazoa; Chordata; Lepidosauria; Squamata; Natricidae.
CAUGGUGAAGAGAAUCAACUCGCAGGCGGCGGCUUUGGAGGAAGGAGCGCUGUACAAGAGACUAGGCCGUUGUGUGGAGCGUGAAUGGUGGGGGAGUUGUGGAAGAAGACAACUAUGUCCUUAAUGGCCCCCUCGCCCUCGCCAUCGUUAAUGUCGUUGCUGAAGCUUUAAAGAGUCAAAACAGAACAGAGGCCUGACAUAGGAACUCAGAAAACCCAGGCCCAGAAUAUUCCUGUUAUCAACUUUCAAGACCACUUUUAUUGUCAAUAGAAAACUGACAUCAGACAUGGCAUUUGGACCUCCCAAAAACCUGAAUGGUCCCAAGAUGCAAACAAAGAUGAGCACCUGGACACCACUGAAUCAUCAGCUCAUGAAUGAUAAGGUAUUUGAAGAAAGAAGAAACUUGUUGGGGAAAUGGUUUGACAAGUGGACAGACAGUCAAAGGCGAAGAGUCCUGGCAGACUUCUUGGAGCACUGCUCCCUUUCACAGCUGAAAUUCUGUUUCAAACUGCUGCAGGAUCGAGUGCCAAUUGAAGCACUGGAUUUCACCACCCAGCUUCCCCGAGUGUUAACUUUGUACAUCUUUUCUUUCCUGGAUCCUCGAAGUCUCUCCCAAUGUGCCCAGGUAAAUUGGCACUGGAACUACUUAACCCAGCUUGAUCAACUCUGGAUGCCAAAAUGUCUGCGUUUUGAAUGGUACAUCAAUUUCUCUCCAACUCCAUUUGAGCAAGGAAUCUGGAAGAAACACUAUAUUAAGAAGAUAGAAGAAUUUCGAGUGUCCAGACCUAAGACCCCACCCAAAAAUGAUUUUGUGGUGGUUGAUGUUCAGCCAAUAACAAAAGAUGUCCCAGAAAUAAAGCAGUCUUUGUUGUCAGUCCUUGAAUCAGCAUCUCUGUUAAGAAGAAAGAUAAACAAAGGAAAGAGAGACCUCCCACCUUGGCGUUCAUCAGAUAAGCAUCCAACAGAUAUCAUUCGUUACAACUAUUUGGAUAACUUUGAUCCCAUUGAGCAGGCAAGGCAGGCUAGAAGAAAAGGAGGAGGUCUCACCCCGGACCUCAGUCAGUCAGCCUUUCAGAAAAAGAGGAAACCAGGCAGUGGAACGUACAAGCUCAGAAAAGCAAAGUCUCUGCAACCUAACAGUGAAUUAUCGAGAACACCAGAUUGUGGGACUCAGGUAUAUGAAGCCCUUUGGAGCAUUUGCUGUCCAUUGCUCAUUCUGUGCUUCCUCUGUUUCUGGGGGCAGAGAGGCAGGAGCAGGUUCCCAUUCUGCCAGCCAUCCCAUCCUGUCAUACAACAUCACUAUCUUUGACAUUUUAAGCACUAGCAUGCCCAUCUGUUGCUCUUUCAAUUGCUACCUGCCAAUCAUAUUGCAAAUUAAUCCCUGUCAUUCACAAAUUGUUUCUAACUCUAGCUUUUUCAACCAAAUGCUACGGAAAUGGAAAAUGCUGCUAUUAGCCUUUCCAGACUUAAACACUGUUGCCAGGCAAGCUUUAUCUGCCACAAUCUCUUUAUAAUAAGUGCUAGAGAAGAUAUUAGAUAAAUAAAUUAAGGCUGCAAUCCUAAAGUAUGUCUCCUUCUGAUUGGAAAUCGUAAGUCUUGUUGAUUAAUGUGCUUUUUUGUUUUGCAUUACUAAGCACUAGCUAUCAUUGGGGUUAAUGAAUAGUAUCCGCAAAGUAUCACUUCAAAUUUCAGGUCUGAAAUCACAGGCCAUGACAGAAUGCCCUGCCAUAUAAAGAUGAAUGACUUCCUGUAGAUGUCUCAAAGUAGGAUUCUCAUAAAUAAUCAGUGACUCACGUUUUCAGCGUGAUGGGUGACAUACAGGCUGCAUAGAAAAAUGCAGCAUUUUAUAACCUACAAAUAUCCAAAGUUUGGACUUAAUGGCAUUUUCAGUCUAAUCCCCCCGCUUGUUGGAGCCAGUAGCACUGCAGGAGCCCAAACCAACCAUACGUGAAACAAUUCUGUCAUAGCAUGAAUGGGACAGAUGAGUGAACAUUUGGAUCACAUGCUUUUCUGGCCAAGAGGGACAGAUGAACAGAACAUGGACAUUUAUUUCAUGAUCUUUUUAUGAGAUCUGAAUUAAGGCCCUGGUGCUGUGAGCCAUAGCUUGAGCUUUGUUUCUUAAUACAGGGAGGAAACAAGCGAAGGAUCCCAAUUCAGACAGCACAAUAAAUUAAGACAGAGCUUCGGUGAUCUGUUUAUCUGCUCCUGGUAGGAAGAGCAAAGUGUAAGGGUUUGAAAAGAAUCCACAGGCACACCAGGACAUUCAGGAUAAGUUAGAGACUUCUAAAACUUUAAUUUGCUUUAACAUGCAAAAGUUAAUGUGGUAGAGUCAAAGGUGUGGCUUUAAUAGUUUAAGGAUUUUUUUGGUUCCAAAUUGUUUCUUUUUUUUGUUCAAAGAAAGGAGAUAGCUGCAUUGCUGAAGAUGAUAUUAUUUGUAACACUUGUUCCUUAUCAUUGCUAUUAUAGAAGUAAGAAAUAAAUAAUAAAUGAACAAUUAAGGGAAACCUGAACCCAAAACCAAAAUACAGUAACAGCCAGAGACCUGUGGACAUAAAUAAUUAUGGCUGCCUAUUCUGAAAAUGCAAAAACUAUUAAUUUCCAAUGAAAUUGGAAAUUGGAAAUUAAAUGAGAUGUCCCUCUCGGCAGAACUUGACUCAGAGGCAGAAGUGACAGUUCGCCCAAACUGGGCUCAGCGUCAGCCAAACAGCUACCCUC